Long non-coding RNA from Homo sapiens (human), 556 nucleotides. The record is from Ensembl. Lineage: Eukaryota; Metazoa; Chordata; Mammalia; Primates; Hominidae.
AAUUGGGCAUGAGACAGUAUGAGGGGUGGUCUCCUCCCUUAUCCCCACCAGAACUUUUUAAUGAAGAAUUGGAAUAUGACUUUGUUAAUAUAGUGGAAUAUAUUUGAGCUUGCAUCAUGGAUCCAGGAGAUAAUCAAUCAACUAAGAGCCAGGCACCUUUUUAAGUCCAGUAAGAAGAAACAUUUUUACAACCUGCUGUCUCUGAAGUCUGCUAUCUGAGAUUCCUCUCCACAAUAAAACUUGGUCUCCACAAUCCUUUAUCUUAACCUGAACAUUUUCUUUCUAUUGAUCCGAGGUCUUCAGAUAUACUCAACCAACUGUCAACCGGAAAAUGUGUAAAUUUGCCUAUAGCCCGGAAGCCGCCACUUUGAGUUGUUCUGCCUUUCGGACAAAUCCAUGUAUUUCUUAAAUGUAUUUCAUUGAUGUCUCAUGUCUCCCUAAAAUAUAUAAAACCAAGCUGUAACCCGACCACCUUGGCCUGAUCACAGGACCUCCCGAGGGCUGUGUCACAGGCCAUGGUCACUCAUAUUUGGCUCAGAAUAAAUCUCUUAAAAUA